This 397-nucleotide ribosomal RNA is filed under the name uncultured bacterium. RNAcentral describes it as "bacterial SSU rRNA". It matches the Rfam family "Bacterial small subunit ribosomal RNA", at positions 9 to 408 of the family's 1533-position model. The record is from RNAcentral.
GAGUUUGAUCCUGGCUCAGAUUGAACGCUGGCGGUAGGCUUAACACAUGCAAGUCGUGCGAGAAAGUAUCUUCGGAUAUGAGUAGAGCGGCGGACGGGUGAGUAACGCGUAGGAAUCUACCUAGUAGAAGGGGAUAGCCCGGGGAAACCCGGAUUAAUACCGUAUACCUCCUUCGGGAGAAAGAAGGCCUCUCUUUGAAGCUUUCGCUAUUAGAUGAGCCUGCGUAAGAUUAGCUUGUUGGUGAGGUAAAGGCUCACCAAGGCGACGAUCUUUGGCUGGUCUGAGAGGACGAUCAGCCACAUUGGGACUGAGACACGGCCCAGACUCCUACGGGAGGCAGCAGUGGGGAAUAUUGGACAAUGGGCGCAAGCCUGAUCCAGCCAUACCGCGUGUGUGA